This 70-nucleotide transfer RNA is filed under the name Marmota monax (woodchuck). RNAcentral's name for it is "tRNA.Ser". The record is from RNAcentral. Lineage: Eukaryota; Metazoa; Chordata; Mammalia; Rodentia; Sciuridae.
GGGUUUGUGGCUCAGUGGUACAGUGCUUGCCUACUACAUGUGAGGCACUGAGUUCAAUCCUCAGAACCCA